GGGUAAAUUCUAAGGCAGUGGCCAG
This 25-nucleotide non-coding RNA is filed under the name Rattus norvegicus (Norway rat). Lineage: Eukaryota; Metazoa; Chordata; Mammalia; Rodentia; Muridae. The record is from RNAcentral.